Molecule: long non-coding RNA, 1279 nt
Filed under: Carica papaya (papaya)
Lineage: Eukaryota; Viridiplantae; Streptophyta; Magnoliopsida; Brassicales; Caricaceae
Description: long non-coding RNA (CPAP_LNC014527)
Source: RNAcentral
AAUCACAUCCCAUAAUCUAUGGAAUAUUCUCAUCCCAUAAUCUGUGAAAUAUUCUCAUCCCAUAAUCUGUGAGAUAUCACACAACAAAAAAAUAAACUACUGAAAUCAACCUAAUUCUAGGGAGACUAACUAUUAUAUUCAAACUUUCCUAAUUUAAUCUAUACAUUUGUAAAACACAUUCUUCCACAGUAAUUAACUAAUUAAAUAAUAAAAUAAUAAAAUAAUAAUAUGGUAUUCAACAAGUAGUUACAGUUUAAUCAUCUAGCACAAUCUUGAGCCUUCUUCAUGGAUUUAACUUAUCAAGGUUUCAUUUUUGAACCAUUGGUGUUAGCUUUAAACACAUGGAGUUAGUAAUGAUUAAAUGUUUAACAUGCCUUUUAACCACUUUUGACGUUAAAAUUUGUAUGGCUUGAAGCAGUUAUCUUUGUUGUUCUGCAGCAUCCUCAUCCUCUGUUAUUUUCAUUUGCAUGCGUCAUAAUCAUGUACACUUAUUAGACAUCUUGGUAUCCUUGACUUUGUUUGAAUUCCUAACUGUUAUAAUCUAAAAUCUCUUUGAAAUUUAGGUGAACAGACCAGGAAAGCUUAACAAGGAUUUACCACAAUAUUUUAUCAAUGCUGAGCUAACCUGCUUGGUAGGUUCUGUUUCAAUCAGUUGGAUUCCACUUUUAUUUGUCGCAUCACUGUUCAUUCUAAUGGUUUGUUGUUUGUCUAUUUGUGUUUUAAAAUCUCUUUAGGAUAUGUCUUUAAAUGAAAUUCAGUUGAAACAGAUCUUGAUCCUAUUGGAUUACUUACAUACAAGCCGAUUACGUGAAAAGUAAGCUCCAACACUUAGUGAUGCUUAAUUUUUACUAUCUUUUUGUUUCCACUUUUUGUAUGAUGGUUGCUGUCCUCUUCAUUUCUCUUUGGGAUUGAGCACAUGGUCUUUUUGUGAAAAUGCCUUGCAAAGAGAUCUGGUCUCUAUCAAUCAAGGCAGUGCAGUUGUUUUUUUAUUUUUUAUUGUUGGCUCUGUUUCCUUUCCCUUUAUGUUGGAAGGAUAUUUUGUCCUUUUUUCUUUUGCUUCUUUUUCCUUUCAUUAAAUAAAACAGAUGGAGAGAGAUGUUUUUGAGAUUUGUUUUAAAAAAAGUAAACCAAGGUGUUAAAAAGAAAAUAAAUUAGGUUAAAGGGUAUGAUGCUAAAGAGGAAGAAAAUUAGGGUUUUUUUUAUAAGCUAAAGAGGAAGAAAAUUUGGGUUUUUUUUUUUUAAAAAUAAAAGUGUGGAGUCGUAUUGAUGAUGUAUUUAC